Molecule: long non-coding RNA, 14208 nt
Organism: Triplophysa rosa
Lineage: Eukaryota; Metazoa; Chordata; Actinopteri; Cypriniformes; Nemacheilidae
Exons: 3
Source: RefSeq, a predicted model, not a curated record
CACUCAUUCUCCAUCUCUCUCUCACACACACGGCAAACACACUCUCUCUCCUCCUCUGCUCUCUCUCUCUGUCUGUCUCUCUCUCUCUCUCUCUCUGAUUCAGUCGCUCUCGAGCCGUAAGUUCAUUUGCUGUGUCAAGCAACAACUGGUUCGGAAGUGGGCAGCGGGUUUUGAUCCUUUUGUCAGCCGUUCCCUCUGACGAGGGCGUACUGCAUCCACCUGAACAGCACGGGACUGGCUGCUCGGCACGCUCUCUCUCGCUGGCAAACUAACCCCUUGGAAGCCGCCGCGAAGCUGGAGCUCCGUCGCCGUUCCAACCUGGGUUUAUCACGAUCAGGCAUCCCACCUUGCUGGCGUUUGAGCUGGGCGGAACGAGAUGCUGCAGGUUUGACAGGGUGAACCCGAUACAGUGGACUAUCAUCUCUAGGAUCGCUGUGGAAAUGGGAGUCAGAACAUGGAAGCUCACCGUUGGACCUCCACAAGGGAAGGACCCCCGAGGUCCUUGCAUCCCAGACGAGACGUUGAGGGGCCAUUGCUUUGCGCUACAAAGCAUCUUCAAUCGGUUGUUUUGAAAGGCCAUGCCGUUUUCCGAGCGGCCGCGGACGAUGCCGGCGGUUCUGUUGUUUCUCUCUGUUAAAGACUCUCUUCGGUGACGGGUAUUCUUGGGUGGAUAAUACGGCUCUCGUUGUUAUUGCUUAAGAAUACGCGUAGUCGAGGAGAGUCAUGCCAACGGCACCUGCACUGGAGUAGAAGGCCCACCUGCCCUGAGCUCACGCACGCACGUUUGCGAACGCUGAGGGUCACGCCCACAUCCACUUUGAGUCAGCAGAGCUGCACUUCCUGUCUGCGUGCGUGGUGUCGAUUCUCCGGCUGUACUCCCACAAAACAUGUUUUCUCUGUAUGCCGCCAGCCAAACGACAGACGAAUGGAUGUGUAUUCAUGUAGUGUGUAGAUCAAAGUUUGUGAUUUUGAGUUUUGCUUUUAAAAUGUGCAUCAAUUCGCUUUGCUUUCCCCACUCAUAGGGAAGCGCUGUACGUAACAGGCCGGGUGGGGUUGCGGAUGCAAUUGUGUUUGGUUUGUGCCAUAUAUUCUUUUCUCAGGACCGCACGCUCUACCUUUUUAAUGCAAAUUGAUUUUGAAAUGACAUUUAUCGCGUAGGGUUUCCAUAUGGAAGUUCAUAGCUCCAUGAGGCCUGGAGAAAAAAAUUGAAUGAAAUGUCCACAACGCCAGUGACAGCUUAAUUUAUGCGCUGGUGUGGAGACGGAUUGUAAAGGAACACACUGCAGAUAAACAGUUACCACGGGCUUAGAUUGACUGCGGCGUGGCUCUCCGCGUAGACUCGCACAUAUCAUGAAUAUGUAUCAGCCGUGCGUAUCAUGCGCCAUUCUAACGUCCAUGAAAUUCCAUUUAAGGAACCUAAUAGGAUCUACUUGACUUAUGAAGGCGUACAAUCAGACAUAUCACAUCUCAUAAAUAUACAUGAGAUUUUUUUUACAUUCAUUUUAUUUAUCUUCAAAAAUAUUUUUUUUCAGAAAUGACGUGAUAGAUAAAUCAGUUACGUUUGGUCUGACUGUUGAUGUAUUGACGUGGAACAUUUGUACAUCUGCAAACAUUUUAAUUUGUUCUCCAUUAUCAUGUUGCACGUUUAAGUGACGUAUUAGCAUUUCAGAUAGACUAAAAGCAACAAUCAGGAGGCACUGUCCUUGAUCACACUGUAAUUAUCGCUCUUUCGGCUAUGUGUUUAAAUGAAUAGAGAGAAAGGAGGUGUAGAUAGAGCGAGCAGAGGAGAAUGAAUGUAAUGUUUUACCACUAGGGGACUUGCACAACUGAGAACAGAUUGGAGCAGUGUUUAGUCUUAGUAACUUCUUAGUUUGUUUUUGAUGAACCAUACUAAAAUAUCGGUUUAGUUAUUUAAUUGUUAUAUUUUUAUAUACUGUAUUUACAGGUUUUGUGCUCUCAGGGCUUGAGUACCCUUAGAUUAUGUGCCAUUUAUUUUAUCCUAAAUAUAUAUUUAUUAUAAAUACAUAUAUUUAAAGAUUAAAUAGAUUAUUUUUAAGAUUAAAAUUUUAGACUAUUUUGUAUUAUAAUUCUUCAUUUUUUAUUUUUUAACUGAAUUAUUUUAGAUAGCACAAAACUCUCAUAGCUCUCAUGUUUAGAAACCUAUUGAUACAGUUAUUCUCUGAUAUAAUUUGUAUUGAUGGUGUUGAGUAAAUAUCUUGCUAGUAAAUAAAAGCUGAUUUCACACUGAUUAACUUCCACCUGCCAGCAGUUUAUGACUUGAUGAAAUUAUUCAGGCCUUUGCAGCUCAUCUUCAUUUGCUAUUUAUUGAAAUGAUCUUUAUCUGCACGUUUUCUAAUGUUACUCCUUCUCAUAUCAUUAAUAAAGCUUGACACAAGUUCAGUUAUGAUGCAUUUGUAUAUUUUGUCCUUUACAGUUGAAGAAUCACUUUUACAUUUAGGCCAUAACCAUACAGGCAAAAAUAAAAUAAGUAUGCAAACAAAUACUAAAUAUGUGGAUAUAUACAAAGAAUUUACUUAACAGUUUAUUUAAUUAUUGCUUCAAUAUAGGCUUAAAUAUUUAACAUACUGAUGCUUUUAUUGUUCUUAAAAAACAUUAUUUUUAAUAUAGCAGUAAAGGCUAAAAUUGUUGUGACUUCUUUUAAAAUCUUUUGAACAUUUUGCGUUUAGUUACCAGUUUAGUUCUUUUGUAAAAAAAAAGUUAUAUAAGAUGUAUUUGGUCAUUAUCAUAUUGAGACAUAAUAAUUCAUAACAUUCAUCGCUCUCUCUCUCUCUCAGAUUAUUCUGCUGUACGAUUAACCUUCCUCUUUAUUUCUCUUUCUGUGCUGCUCUGCCUCAGACAGAUUCACUCAUCCACAACAGGUCUUAAAUUACAGCCCCAAAUUUUCUCGGGGUGAUAUUUUGUUCCCAAAGCAAAUGGAGCAUUAAUUAAUUUUGGGUAAUGUGAGAUAUGCACUAAAAUUUAGGCAUAUUUGUCCAUUUUCAUGUGCAGAAAUGCCCCAUCACACAGCCUACUGUAAACUUCACACUCACAGCAUUGGUAAAAUGGAUUAUUAAUUUAUUGAUCUCUGCGUUAGAGGAAUACAAUACCUAAUUGAAGAAGCUGUGCAUUAAAAUGCUUAUUAGAUUUUUAAACAUUGUAUGACUAAUAGACAUUUUAAAGCGAACACAUGUUGAAGACACUCGUUCUCUGCUUUCAUAGGUUUUUAAUAAUGAGUUUUCAUUUGGCUAGUAGUUUACCUUUCACAGUUGGUAUUUGACCCAACCUUUUUAAUGACAUCAGCAUCCUCACAUGAGCCCUUUUUUACGGGAUUUUCCCCAUUUCCUUGUGCAUGACGUAAUGAUGUUCUAUCAUCCUCUGGCUUCCUCCAGGACCGUAAUGUGGUUUUCCACAAAUAAGAUUAGUGGCAUUAAUCAAUUGAAAAUGUGCUGCUUUAGCAUACGUUUCCCUGGGCCACGAAGUGCAGGAAAUGGCAGCUGCACUUCCAGUCAGAAGUUUGGAUAUACUUGGCUGAAUUGAUAUUGCACUUAAUAACCUUUUGAUCUAAAGGCUGAUGCUUAAAUGCUUCCAAUGAGUUCUAUAGACAUUGUGCCUACGUGUGACUUUUUUUACUAAAAUGUAAUUCUUUUUUUUAUUGUUUUAUAAAUGGAUUAGUUGGACUGGAUGGCGAAGGAAUGGCAGCCACAAAGCGCAAGGCAUAUAUGGGAAAUAAUGCAAAGAUUCUUUUAAAGUAUCCCAGAAUGCACCCGAGGAAGUUGGUUGAGAUGAUUAGGUUGUACAGAACAUUUUUAGUCAGAAGCUAAUAUUCUAUAUUAGUGUUCUAUAGGUUUUGUUUUAUUCUAAAAUAUGGAAAACAGAGGUAAUCAAGAGCGUGUCCAGACAUUUGGCACAAUCUUUUUGUUUCACAAUCUGCAAUACUCCAAAAAAAUCUUUUUUAACAUCUAAGGAAUCUUUUUUCAUUACAUUUAUUUUUCGAAACAGAAAGGUUCUUCGGAGGUUCUUUAUGGAACCUUUAAGGCAAAAAUGGUUCUUCUAUGGCCUCAGAAUCAAAAUCUACUUCCAAGUCUUUAUCACAAUCUAAAUCGCAACAUGCCCAUUUCUUCCUUUUAAUACUCACUAAGAGUUAAGCCGUUUUUCAUUAAUUGCAACAAUGCUCUGUAUUCCUCCAUGCAGCGCGAGGCAGUUUAUCACGUGUAUCAUUCCAAAGAUUAAUUUUCAGGCGGUAGGUGAGGCACGCUGAGGUAGUGAAGUCAAACUCCCAGAUAUCUUCAAUAAGGUUAUACUGUGGAUGGGGUUUUAAGUUGGUUUAAAUAGCAGCCUAUGAAAUGUACCCACAUCAGUAGCUCGCUGAUAGAGGCUUAGCAAUCUAUUUAAAAAGCAAUUUAUUUCCACAGCAUUGGAGCUGGCGCAGAUUGAACGCGGGAGAGAUCCUCCACUUCCAAAUUCUCAGUGGACACCGCUCAUCCUAUUCUGGCGCGAUCGCUCUCUCGCUCAUCUUUUCCUUUUUAUCACUCCCCUCUUCACAAACUCUUGCGACUUAUAUUCCUCCAAGAGCGCUCCGUGAAAACCUCUUUGGCCGGAAAAAUCGCUUUAGACUUUCGUAGAAAACAUGAUUGAGGGCUCUCAAUAACAGCGGGAAAUUAAAUGUUAGAUUCGCUGGAAAUUAAAUGUUAGAUUGCAAAUUCCAAAGUUUGUAUUUACACAUUUUGCAAUAGCUUUUAUUUUAAGAAAAACUAUUUUUUUUAACUGGGAGUCGAAACCACAACCUUGCCGCCAUGCAGAAACACUUAAGGUAGAGAUGCACGUGUACACAAAAAAACUUCACAGUUACAGGUGCCUGUUUGUUGAGUUAAAUGUAAGUCUGUGGGCUGCGCUUGUGUCCGGUCUUUUGCUGACGUAGAGUGAGCGGUGACUGAUUAUUUUGCCCCAUCGUCCAUUCAUCUCUCCCGCUCUGUAAGAGGCGUCGCUCGGCGCUUAACUAGGGCCAGGCCUUCUGUUACCUCUGAGCUAUCACCUCAGAGAGAGAUACUGUGAUUAAUCAGAUCCCCUAAAUGCUGGCACCCCCCGAGAGGCUCCUUCAGCGAGAAGCUCUUAGGUCCUCACCUCCCAUAAACGCAGAGAGUUCAAUCUUCACGGAAAGCUGAGGUGGGGGAGAAAAAUCACGCUUUCAUUUUGGUUCCAAGCAGACUGCAGAACAUCUACCGUCUGCUCGCCGCUGUAUAAAUACCUGGUGCACUCAGCGUUCAAUCACCAGCUUCCUGCGCUCGCUGGUUUUUAGGGUUAGAAGUGCUAGGGCUUUGUCUCGUGUAUGGUCGAGGAGAGGAUGUUUCUUUUUAUGUUUGUCUGAUGAAAAAACUGAUGUCUUUGAAAACAGUCUGCAAGAUCUGUCCUCGGUUGCCUUUGUAAUGCAGAGAAGUGGGUUGUUUUGUUUUUAUGAGAAGGAAACGUCGUCAUUCUUAUUUGUGGCAUUUGAAAUGACUUAAUGAGAAAAUCUCAUUCCUACAUUUGCGUGGUAAGCUAAAUUCAUUUUGUUUUGGUAGACGCUGUUCUGGGAAUUGCCUAAAGCAAAAACGAAAAGAUGGGUUAUACUUUUAGUGUUUGCUUUUAGACUCACAGAGAGACAGACGGAUAAAUGGACACAGACAGACAGACAGAUCUAUAACUAUAGUUCUAUAAUUAGAUGGAUAUACAGACAGACAGACAGACAGAUCUGUAAUAAAACUAGACAGACAGACAGACAGAUCGAUCGAUAACUAUAGUUCUAUGACUAAGUAAUGGAUAGAUACUGUAGAUAUAUAGAUUGAUAGACAGACAGACAGACAGAUAGCUCUAUAACUAGUCCUAGAUAGACAGACAGACAGAUAGAUGUAUAACUAUAGUUCUAUAACUAGAUAGACAGACAGACAGACAGACAGCUCUAUAACUAUAGUCCUAUAACUAGGUAGACAGACAGACAGACAGACAGACAGCUCUAUAACUAUAGUCAUAUAACUAGGUAGAUAUAUAGACAGACAGACAGAUAGCUCUAUAACUAUAGUCAUAUAACUAGGUAGAUAUAUAGACAGACAGACAGAUAGCUCUAUAACUAGUCCUAGAUAGACAGACAGACAGAGACAGAAAGAUAGAUAGACAGGUAGCUAGAUCUAUAACUUUAGUCCUAUAACUACGUAGGUAGAUAGAUAGACAGACAGUUAGACAUAUUUAUAACUUUAGUCCUAUAACUAUGGACAGAUAGAUAUAGACAGACAGACAGACAAGAUAAAUCUAUAACUUUAGUCCUAUAACUAGGUAGGUAGGUAGAUAGACAGAUAGACAGACAGACAGUUAGACAUAUUUAUAACUUUAGUCCUAUAACUAUGGACAGAUAGAUAGAUAUACAGAUAGACAAACAGAUAGAUCUAUAACUAGUCCUAGACAGAUAGAUAGAUAGACAGACAGACUAUAGUCCAAUAACUACAUAGAUAGAUAGAUAGAUGGAUGGAUGGAUGGAUAGGUUUUAAGCAUAGUUUUAAUUUGAAAAAUAAUUUUAAAUUUACAUAGUUGCUCACAAAGCUCUCUGGUCACACACAUUUUUCAAGAAAUGAGUAACGUCAUCUUCGAAACAGAAUUUUCUUGUAACCUGAUUUUCCAUUGAUACAUUUUUAAUGCAAAUACAUUUGCUCUUGAAUGAUCUUUACACUGUCCCACUCUCUCCCCCCUCGCUCGCCUCCUCCAACCAAAGCCAACAACACACGCUGGUGUGUCAUUCACAUGCAAAACAGGGGCAUCCAGACACUUGUCCCCAGACUUACUAAUCUAUUGAGUCCCAAGACACAACCUUUCCUACACGCUGGCUGAAUGUGUGAAUAAUACAAGCGUCUAGACUCUGCACAUAGCAAGUAUUCUUUGAGGCCGUAUUAGACCUGCUUUGAAGGCGAAAGAGAACGAGUUUGGGCUUUUUUUCUCUAGUAUUUUCAAGGUCUUGCGAUAAGAAACUGACUGUGAUAUCCGGCUGUCUGCGGGAAUGAUCUUCACCGGGCCGCGAGGUGUUAUUCUGAACGUCUGUCCUGCGGCUGACCCUGCGCGAUAUCUGUCGUCCCUUUUAUCAGUGCUUUAAUCCGUAUGUUCUCUAGUGUCUUUUAAUGUUCGCGCGGUACUCGGAUAAUUAAAGAACAUUUUUAGGUUUUAUAAUCAAAGUUAGUCAAUGGCUAAAACCCUCGGGUUUGGUCAUUAGUUCUGGUAACAUAAUAAUAACGUAAACACAACGUUAUGGUCCUUGGUGUGAACAGACCUUAAUUCAAAUUAAUAUGAAAUAAAAACUCACGGCAAAAACGAUUUAUGAGGAGGCUAAUUUUGGCUACUUCGAAUGAAUUCAUAUGAUCUCAUUGGUACAUAUUAGUACGAUUUGCGCCAGUGACGUUAAGUUUAAGGUCAGGGUUCAGUAUUGCUUUUAUUUUUUUAUCGUCAAAUUAGCCACCUCGUAAAAUAGUUACGAAUUCCUGUGAGAUCAGGUUGGAAAUGAUUAAAAAUGCUGUGCUAUGUGAAACACACUAGGUUCAUGUUUUCAUGAGGGUUUUUUUCUAACCAAUGGUUGAAGCCCUGGGUUAAGUCACGGCGCUUAUGUUAAAUUAAUGCAUUUAACAUCACUUAAAGUCACGUCACUCCAAGCCAUCGUGAUCAUUUAGACACACAGAUGAUUGUGUGGUGUCACGUGUUGGACUUGACUGGGCACACACUUCAUUGUGACUCUUAACUUCCGAAUGAACUCUAAUGAAAGCCCACUCUCCCUCUCUCUGCUUCCACUCUGACCUCUCUCUCUCUCUCUAAAUCUAUUUCUAUUUCCCUCUAUUUCUCUGCCUCAUCUCUUGAAGCUAGUGCAUGAGUGAUGCUGUCUGCCCACCCCAUCAGUGAGCUGGACAAAAACAGUGGGAAGCACUUAAUGACGGCCUUGUUUAGUAAUUCAUUAUUGAUGAUGCCUGUUUUCUCCCACUGAUGCAUUAUGGGGGCUGAUUUCCCUCUUCUGAAAGACCGUGUUUCCAUACGGCGAGUCCCACAUUUAAAUAGAAAGUGGGUUUUAUUAAAAAAUACAAGAUGAAAUCAGAAUUAUUUUUUUUCAUUUCCUUUAUUUAACUAGGUUAAAAACUCAUUGAGAUCUAAGAAAUCUCUUUUAAAAGAGUGAAGUGGCCAAGAAGGCAGCAACCAUGUAACAAAGACCAUUUUAAACAACCUUUUUUAUAAAUUUGAUCAGAAUAUACGUUCUUAUCAAAUGGCCCUGGUCAUUCAUUUUGUGAAGUUGUACUGUAAUUGUACAUCCAGGGACAUAAAACCACACUCCACACCCUAUAUUCUUGUACUUUGGUGUGUUCCAUAAUUGGUCUAUAGCAACAACAUAAACAAAGGUUACUGUGCAUGCACGCUUUAGUGGCCUAAACUGAAAGGUCCAUUGUGUCAUUUUUUGCAGGAUCUAUUGACAGAAAUGCAAUAUAAUAUUCAUAACUUUGUCUUCAGAAGUGUACCUUACAUAAUGAAGCGUUAUGUUUUUAUUACCUUAGAAUGAGCUAUUUCUAUCUACAUACACCUCGGGUCCGAAUUCGCCAUGUUGUUUCUACAGUAGCCCUAAAGGGACAAACUGCUCCACAGAGCGCUUUACAUAAAUGGGGGUUUAUGCAACUGCGAGCACUUUUAAGUCCCAGCAGUGAAAUCUUAGAUUUAUGUCAAAAUUUGUCAUAUGACUCUUUAUAAAUAUAUUUACAGUGUCAUCACACACCUUGAAAAAAAUGUAUAAUUAAUUAAUAAUGUGAUUUAAUAAAAAAUUAUAUAGCAUUUAUAGGUGCAAACAUUGUUUUUGUUCAUGUCCCACGACUCUGGUCACAAUAUUAAGAUAUGUAAAAUAAGCUAAUUGAAUUACAAUUUGACAUUAUUUCAAAUGGAAUUGUUUAAUAUACAUAUUAAUUUACAGCAUCAUAAAUGUUUUUGUAUAUUUUACUGAUCAUUUUUAUAAUUUUAUGAAGUAAAUGUGCCUGUGCCACACUUUUGAGUCCUUACCGCAACAAUGAAAAAAGGCUUUUUUAAUGAAGUUUUAUCAAAGACAAACAAGUCUAGUUUCUAUGGAAACAGAUAUUACCACAUGAGCACAUUGCUGACAGAUUAGGCCACCACUACCUCACUCACAAGAUCCCAAAAAUAUAAGGUAAAUAUCAUCUUUUCUGUGUCAGUAUUUAUUGGGUGUCCUUACCAUACAGCUUAGUAAUUCUGUACUUUGAACUACAUUUUAGAAAUAAAUGUAUAUUACUGUACUGUUUAAUUCAUGUAUUUCAAAAUGCUAAGAGUCAAAACUAAUGUAGUAGACCUUACUAGCUGCCAAUUAGCUGCAAUAUUAGCAAAAAUGUCAUUUCCGCAACAUGACAUUACCGCAGCACAUUUUCAAGGUUUCCUGUAUCAAUUAUAAAUAUAAAAAUAAACAUGUUCCAGAUUAAAAUCUUAAUGACUCCAUGCAGUUUUGUUGAUCUUAUAACAUGUAUUUCAGACUCUGAUGAUUAAAAUUCACAGCAUUCACAGGGGUUGAUUUUUUUUUUUGGACAGUCAAAAGUGUCCGUAGUUGCAGAACCACCCAAUAUACGUUAUCUCCUUUGGCAAAGAAGCGAAAACGUGAGGACAUGUUUGUCCUGUGUCAGUUGCCGUGGUGCUUCGAGGGGUAGGGGUGGAGUGAGCCGUUGGUUGCAAUUCGAAACCUCACCGCUAGAUGCCGCUAAAAUCUCCACGUUGCUCCUUUAACUUCCAGUACACACCCGCAAAGAAUAGAGUCCCUGUAAAUUGAUAAUAAGCAAAAGAAAUAACAAGUCAAUUACAUAAGCUAGCAAGAUAAAAGUAUGUCUAGCCAGUAUUAUUUUGGGUUACAAGUAGAAGAAUUGUUGCGACAAAACCCAACAAUUUUUUCAUUUAAUACAAUUAUUAUACAAUAAAAUAUUCCUAUAAAUGAAUAAUAAUAUAAAUGAAAUAAAAUAAAAUAUAAAUGGUUAUAUUAUUAGCCACUAGCCAAACCGAUAACCAAACGCAGACCAGAAGUUAACUUUGCGCCAGGCGCAUACAUCCAAUGAAACCGUCUAUACAGUUUGUACAGUAAAAAAGUCAUUAUGUUCAUGGAAAGUCCCCAUGAUGUAUUAACACAAACACGUGUGUGUGUAAACAAUGUAACGCAUGCAAACAUGUUGAGUCAGUCUUGCAUGUUGCAUUAAAAGUCAUAAUCUGAGACAAGGACUGGAUCGUAAUGAGAGCAUGACAAUCCGACAUGCCACUCUCUCGCAGGUUAAACAGCAGCAGUUGGAGACUAUCACCGGUUUGGUUUGUGAGCAGAAUUAAUUAGCAGUCACUACAGCUGACACAUCAGUUUUACACUGACCUGCAAUUAACAAUAACACUUCUUCUGCCUGUGUGUGUUUCAUUGGCAGCAGCCCGGGCCGCUUGAUUCGUAAUUAAAGUUUCUUUGGUCUCUGAGGUAUUGUGGGACGAAAGUGGAAACCCGAGGUACCUGUGAAGCUCCCAGACAUAUUUUCAUAUCUAAUACAUGUAACACAAUAGCUCUGUUCCAAAACCUAGUGAGCUGUGUGCUGUCUACAGGAAUCCCAAUUGAAUCCUAUAAGUAACCGAUGAGAGACGCUCUUUACAGACAGCGACUCGGUGUGCUGCACAAAUAGCACAGCUCACGUGAUGCUAAGACGCAGGUGUGUGAUGUGAAUAUAUGCAGAAUUAAUGGUAAACAGUUGUUUUUAAAUGUUAAUGUAGAUGAUAAGAAAAGCUCUUUAGCAAAUCGUACAUUGUUUUUCCUCAGUAUGGUUCCCAGAAGACUUCUUUGUCAAUCUUGACCGUAAUGCUCCUUUGUGCUUUUUACCACCCAGAAUGCACUGGGGGAGAGCCGAUAAGUGAGAAGAUGCAUUUUGUGUGCAGCAGUGGCCGUGGUGCAGAUGUUGCUGGUUAUUUCCAUGAGGUUUCAUCAUGGUGUUGAGACACUGAACUCUAUGGAAAUCUGCCUUGAUUCUCUAGAGUUGUGUUUGUCUGGGCUCCGUGUGUGUGUGUGUUUGAAUUAUUUUGAGAGAGUCCAUAUGUCAUUGUGUUUGUGUUGGUUUGUAGAUUGUAAUUACGUAUUAAUUUGUGUUUGUGUUGAUGUACUGUAUAUGACAAAUACUGCAUUAUAAGCGUUUGGAUCCAUCGAUUUUAAAGGGAAAGUUCACCCAAAAUGAUCAUCAUUUACUCACUCUCAAGUUCAAACCUGUAUGACCUUGUUUCUUCUGCGGAACACAAAAGAAGAUAUUUUGAAGAAUGUUGGGAACCAAACAACAUUGACCCCCAUUGACCUCCAUUGUAUGGACACAAACCACUGAGACAUUUCUCAAAAUAUCUCCUUUUGUGUACACAGAAGAAAAAGUCAUAUACAGAUUUUGAAUAACAUGGGAGUGAAUAAAUGAUAACAGAAUAUCUAUCCCUUUAAGCCUCAAUGAUUUGAAACUGUAAAAUCUGUUUUCGUGUAGUUGUUUGCAUACAGUAUCUGUGUUUCAGUCUGAUGUGUGAAGUACAGAGGUCCAUAAAUACAGCGUUAAUGUGGAAUCUUUUCGCAGUUAGGUGUGCAAUAACAACGUGAAAUAUAAAAGAGUGAGGAAGCGAGAACACUGCGUUCAUUGUUAAUUUGAUGUGAUGUUUGUUUACAGCACGCGCCAGCUUCCCUGUGGAAAUUCUGCAAUGACACAUGAUUCCUAAAAUAACACGAUGACACCCAUAAUUAAAUUAGGAUUGACCUUCAUGUGAAAUAUUUAAAGAAAAGUUUUAAGGCGUAUUUUUGAAUUCUGACAGUAGUAUGGAAAUGUACAUUUAAAAUAAAGUUGUAUAGGGAUCGUUUACAUAAAUAAUAAAAUUGUCAUCAUUUAAUCACCCCCCUGUCGUUCAAAAUCUUCCUUCUGUGGAACACGGAAGAGGAUAUUUUGAGAAAUGUCUCAGUGGUUUUGUGUUCAUACAAUGGAAGUCAAUGGGGGUCAGUGUUAUUUGGCUACCAACAUUCUUCAAAAUAUCUUCUUUUGUGUUCCGCAGGAGAAAGAAAGUCUCACAGGUUUUUAAAUGAUGUGAAGGGUGAGUAAAUGAUGAAAGAAGUUUCAUUUUAGUGUGAACUAUCACUUCACAUGUUCGAUCCAUCAGUGUGUGAGCUUUAUCGUAAAAUAUUACUAGAUUAAAUUUGAACAUGUAAAAUAAAUAAGGCCCAAUGCACACUUUUUAAACAAAAUAAUGAAAAAUAGUAAAGAAAAAAUAAAUAUAUUUGGCUAAAUCAUCAUAAUGAAAUAUUUUCGGUUUUCACAUGCUAAUGUUUAUUUUUGCAUUCAUAUUCCACCGUAAAUGUUUUAAAUCUUCUGUUUGACACUAACUCUGCCUUGUUUUUCAGGAUUGCUCACAUUUCAAUGCAUUAUUUUGCUCUUCUUGGACUCUCAAACAGCUCAGGGAGAUCUCAGGCCUGCUUUCUAAAGACUUUAAAGCUUCCAGCUGUCCUCAGUUUCUCUAAAAUCGUGGAAUGGGCCGUUCUGGCCCGACUCAUAAUAGGUAUUUUUGGAGGACAGAAGCUCCAAGUAGCUGCUGAUCGAGGCUAAAACUCUUCCUCAACACAGAGGAUGUUCUUAUUUUGUAGCCAGUCCUAAAUCUAUUGUUUGAUCUAAUUAUUCUGCCUCUAAGGCCUUUUAUCCGGGCACUGCUGAUGAAACCGAGGAGAAAGAAGAGGCAGAGGGUGUCUCCCGGUUGUUUGAGGCGUACCAGGACAUCCAUACACAGGCACGGAGUGAGAUAAAGAGAGCUAGAAAGAGGGAGAAUAAAAGAGGAACGAGUGAUUCAGUCACGUACGGCCGGGCAUUAUCCAGCCAACAAUGAAAGAUUACAUCAUAUCAGCUAGCAUCAUUUUUUCAAGGUCUUUUAUUGAUUUUUUGAAUGGCGAAUGCAGCUGUUGAAAGUGUACAGAAGAGAAAGCCUUUGAAUCUACAGGAUCACAUCAGGAUUUUAUAGACACACAGAAAUGAUUUGACCAUUCGCCUUUCAUGCGGUGAGUGAUCGCAACUUCUGUAGGGCUUUGUAGGUACACAACUCUUGAUUCAUCUCUAGACUGAAGAUGUUUUAAAAGAACGUCAUCAAAGGUGCUGAUGGGUCAAAAGGGCAUGGGCGGGGCUACAUAGGAGGUUAUUGAUCCAUUCGGUGGUUUUUGAGUGACUCAGGACAAGGGGUCUCUCACUCCGUGCCGCACAAAUCAAGGUAAUUGUGAUUGGCUCAGGCCAGGGGUCGAUGACGGAUUACUCCGCUGAAGAGAAACAUCUGUUCUCUGCCAGUUGCCGACAGAUCGCUGUGAUAACGUUUAAUUUUGCAAGGGGUCACCGGACCAAUUACAUCGCUGCUCAAUUACUCCAGAAAAUGGAAUUGAUAAGAGAGAACGAAAACAUUAAUGAUUUUGCAAGAUUGUUGCUAUGUGUGGAGAGAUUUAUGACUCUAAAUGACAGCAUCGGAGCAUGUGGAUUUGUAAGCGUGAUGGGAUGUAUUUUCCUUGAGGGCACGACAAAAUGAUGCAAAACAUCUAACCAAAAUACAGCAUAUAUGUAUGUAACAUAAUAUAAAGCCACGGAAAAAAUGAAGAGACCAUUUCAAAAUGAUUUUCAAUUUUUCGGAAUGGGUAUGUGUUUAGGUAAAAUGAUCGUAUUUGUUUCAUUUUGUGAACUGCUAACAAUAUUUCCUCCACAUUUCAAAUAAAAGUAUUGUUUCUAUUAGCAUUUAUUUGCAGAAAAUGAAAACUGGAGAAACAGGUCAAAAGUAACAGAAAAGAUGCUCUGUAUUUUUCAGACCUCAAAUACUGCAAAGAAAACAAGUUCAUAAUCACUUUGAUUGGAAUGGACUCCAAUUGGAACUUUUUCCGCAGCUCUAUAUCUGUGCAUGUGUUCGUUUAAUGUGAUGUUUGUACACCAUUUGACACAGGUUCCAUAUAUAUAUCAAAAAAUAUAUCAAGGAAAAACAUAUAUAUACCCCAAUAGACAAGCAUGUUAUGAAUUUACGUAUGAUCUUAAAAACUAUGUUGAAGGAAAUUUUGACUUUCCUUUCUGUUGAGAUAACACAAAACCGUUUCUGAAAAGCAGAAAGACACACAAAGACACAUCAUUUUGUUGAUCUCACAGAUUGUGUUAACUUGUUAAACAUAUUUAA